UACGAAGGGGACUAGCGUUGUUCGGAAUUACUGGGCGUAAAGCGCACGUAGGCGGAUUUGUAAGUCAGGGGUGAAAUCCCGGGGCUCAACCUCGGAACUGCCUUUGAUACUGCAAAUCUCGAGUCCGAUAGAGGUGGGUGGAAUUCCUAGUGUAGAGGUGAAAUUCGUAGAUAUUAGGAAGAACACCGGUGGCGAAGGCGGCCCACUGGACCGGUACUGACGCUGAGGUGCGAAAGCGUGGGGAGCAAACAGG
RNAcentral lists this ribosomal RNA (253 nucleotides) under uncultured bacterium. RNAcentral describes it as "partial 16S ribosomal RNA". It matches the Rfam family "Bacterial small subunit ribosomal RNA", at positions 524 to 776 of the family's 1533-position model. The record is from RNAcentral.